Molecule: ribosomal RNA, 462 nt
Filed under: uncultured bacterium
Lineage: Bacteria
Description: bacterial SSU rRNA
Rfam family: Bacterial small subunit ribosomal RNA
Source: RNAcentral
AACGAACGCUGGCGGCAUGCCUAACACAUGCAAGUCGAACGCGACCUUUCGGGGUCGAGUGGCGCACGGGUGAGUAGCGCGUGGGAACCUGCCCGGUUGUGGGGGAUAACCGAGGGAAACUUCGGCUAAUACCGCAUACGCCCCGGCGAAAGCUGGGGGAAAGAUUUAUCGCAGCCGGAGGGGCCCGCGUCCGAUUAGGUAGUUGGUGGGGUAACGGCCUACCAAGCCGAUGAUCGGUAGCUGGUCUGAGAGGAUGAUCAGCCACACUGGGACUGAGACACGGCCCAGACUCCUACGGGAGGCAGCAGUGGGGAAUAUUGGACAAUGGGCGCAAGCCUGAUCCAGCAAUGCCGCGUGAGUGAUGAAGGCCUUAGGGUUGUAAAGCUCUUUCGCCCGCGACGAUGAUGACGGUAGCGGGAGAAGAAGCCCCGGCUAACUUCGUGCCAGCCGCCGCUGUAAAAC